RNAcentral lists this ribosomal RNA (468 nucleotides) under uncultured bacterium. RNAcentral's name for it is "partial 16S ribosomal RNA". It matches the Rfam family "Bacterial small subunit ribosomal RNA", at positions 28 to 507 of the family's 1533-position model. The record is from RNAcentral.
GACGAACGCUGGCGGCGUGCUUAACACAUGCAAGUCGAACGGAAAGGCCCUGCUUUUGUGGGGUUCUCGAGUGGCGAACGGGUGAGUAACACGUGAGUAACCUGCCCUUGACUUUGGGAUAACUUCAGGAAACUGGGGCUAAUACCGGAUAGGAGCUCCUGCUGCAUGGUGGGGGUUGGAAAGUUUCGGCGGUUGGGGAUGGACUCGCGGCUUAUCAGCUUGUUGGUGGGGUAGUGGCUUACCAAGGCUUUGACGGGUAGCCGGCCUGAGAGGGUGACCGGCCACAUUGGGACUGAGAUACGGCCCAGACUCCUACGGGAGGCAGCAGUGGGGAAUAUUGCACAAUGGGCGGAAGCCUGAUGCAGAAACGCCGCGUGCGGGAUGACGGCCUUCGGGUUGUAAACCGCUGUCGCCUGUGACGAAGCGUGAGUGACGGUAAUGGGUAAAGAAGCACCGGCUAACUACGUG